This is a non-coding RNA of Potamilus streckersoni, 73 nucleotides long. The record is from the annotation of a GenBank genome assembly. NCBI's taxonomy places the organism in Eukaryota, Metazoa, Mollusca, Bivalvia, Unionida, Unionidae.
GCUCCGGUGGCCUAGUGGUUAGAGCGUCCGCCUCGGAUGUUGGAGGUCGUGGUUUCGAUCCACGGCUGAAUCA